UACGAAGGGGGCUAGCGUUGCUCGGAAUCACUGGGCGUAAAGGGUGCGUAGGCGGGUUUUUAAGUCAGGGGUGAAAUCCUGGAGCUCAACUCCAGAACUGCCUUUGAUACUGAAAAUCUUGAGUCCGGGAGAGGUGAGUGGAACUGCGAGUGUAGAGGUGAAAUUCGUAGAUAUUCGCAAGAACACCAGUGGCGAAGGCGGCUCACUGGCCCGGUACUGACGCUGAGGGACGAAAGCUAGGGGAGCGAACGGG
Molecule: ribosomal RNA, 253 nt
Filed under: uncultured bacterium
Lineage: Bacteria
Description: partial 16S ribosomal RNA
Rfam family: Bacterial small subunit ribosomal RNA
Source: RNAcentral